CGAGAAAGCCCUUCGGGGUUAGUAAAGUGGCGAACGGGUGAGUAACACGUGGGCAAUCUGCCCUUCGUAGGGGGACAACCGGGGGAAACCCCGGCUAAUACCCCGUAAGCUUGUCGGGUCGCAUGGCCUGACAAGGAGAGGUAGCUUCGGCCAUCCGGCGAAGGAGGAGCCCGCGGUUCAUUAGCUUGUUGGUGAGGUAAAGGCUCACCAAGGCUACGAUGUAUAGCUGGUCUGAGAGGAUGAUCAGCCACACUGGGACUGAGACACGGCCCAGACUCCUACGGGAGGCAGCAGUCGGGAAUCUUGCACAAUGGGCGAAAGCCUGAUGCAGCAACGCCGUGUGAGCGACGAAGGCCCUAGGGUCGUAAAGCUCUGUUGUUAGGGACGAAGGGCGAAGGGUUAAUAGCCCUUAGCCUGACGGUACCUUUCGAGGAAGCCCCGGCUAACUACGUGCCAGCAGCCGCGGUAAUACGUAGGGGGCGAGCGUUGUCCGGAAUUAUUGGGCGUAAAGGGCGCGUAGGCGGCCUGGUAAGUCUGCUGUGAAACCUUGGGGCUCAACCCCAAGCGUGCAGUGGAUACUGUCAGGCUAGAGGAUGGUAGAGGCCAGUGGAAUUCCCAGUGUAGCGGUGAAAUGCGCAGAUAUUGGGGAGGAACACCAGUAGCGAAGGCGGCUGGCUGGGCCAU
RNAcentral lists this ribosomal RNA (684 nucleotides) under Rubrobacterales bacterium GUDS1564. RNAcentral's name for it is "bacterial SSU rRNA". It matches the Rfam family "Bacterial small subunit ribosomal RNA", at positions 67 to 737 of the family's 1533-position model. Lineage: Bacteria; Bacillati; Actinomycetota; Rubrobacteria; Rubrobacterales. The record is from RNAcentral.